This is a long non-coding RNA of Carassius carassius (crucian carp), 783 nucleotides long. RefSeq lists it as uncharacterized. The record is from RefSeq and is a predicted model, not a curated record. Lineage: Eukaryota; Metazoa; Chordata; Actinopteri; Cypriniformes; Cyprinidae. The transcript is spliced from 3 exons.
GAUGGUUGAGAGUUUUUUUUUUAUGACAUACUCUUUUCUCUGUUUUGCCUGCAGAUUUACUCUGCUUUGUACUUUUCAUUAAAAUGCUGUGCUUAGGUCAUCUUGUUUUGUUAGUGUUCCAUGACAGAUGAUGCAUGAUUCGAAAUCCACAACAGAGGAGCUUCAGGGUGGUAUGUACUUUCAUCGUCAGAAAAAAGACAAAAAAAUAUUCUGGAGCAAAAGCGGAACAAAUAGUGUGCAGAGGGAACAUAAUAAGAGCAUCAUAAAACUGGAGUAAACAGUUAUUAUGGCCUAAGGAAUGGGGUCUGUGGUCGGGGAAACACCACGGUUAGGCAAGAAUGCCACUUUCGCCAUCAUUUUUCCUGUUUUUCUCCUCUUGGUUUUCUCCAGUCUUUUUUAUCUGUUGAUAUUCUCUGCCCUGUGUUUUACCUGCUAUGAUUAAAGCUUCCUAACUUUUUCAUUAUUUUCUCUGAUUAUGCACACACAAAGCACUAACGUGAUAUUUAGAGCCCUGAAUCAUCAGUUUUAGGUCCACUGCGGCCUGUUCUACCCUUUAAUACUAAAACCAACAUCAAUCUCCAUGUUAAGAUCAGAGGUUUGUGUGUUCUCAUUUAGGCAGGUAAGUUUGGGUCAUCUGUUGGGUCCUAACAGAAAACACUGGCAAAUCUUCUGCUGUGAGCCCUUCUGAGAUGUGCUGCCUGACUUUCAUUAACUCUCAGGGUUACACUUGAAACUUGAGAAGAAAGGAAAUGAUCUAGAGGACAUCCUAGGACUAAAUUAAAU